GUAUAGGGGACACAACUCAGUGAUGUAUCUCCCAGUUCCAGUGAAUUUACUAAUCUAUUUUUCCCAGCAGUUUUUCUGAAAUCUGAUUGCUACCUUCUCUAUCUACAUGAACCAAAGGUCUAAUGCAAGUCUACUGAACUUGAGGAACAGAGGCUGAAGCAACUUGUUGAAGAAGGCCUUGGAUGCUCUCUUAUUUUGCAAGGCCUGUUCUGCCCACCCGGGAAACUACAUGUGGAAGAAAUUAUUUUUAUCUUCCUCUUUAGAACAAGCAAAGCUGAAUUUUUGUACAUUUCUGUGAGUUGAGCGAAGCACAGAAGGAUUCUGCGGGACACAUCAACCGUGUUGUUCCCCUGUCCUGGGAGAUGGAAGGUCUGGCAGACAGCUGAUUGAUCAGGGGACAAAUGAACAUCAGCUGACCUCCCCAAGGUCCACUAACCAGGCUGUGAGCGCACUCUGAGCAGUUUCGCUAGCUGACAGAACAACCUGGCAAUGCUGGCAAGGAGUUAUUCAGAAUAAAACGUAAACUUCUGAGUAAGCCA
Molecule: long non-coding RNA, 539 nt
Filed under: Struthio camelus australis
Lineage: Eukaryota; Metazoa; Chordata; Aves; Struthioniformes; Struthionidae
Description: lncRNA (ENSSCUG00000007966.1)
Source: RNAcentral